This 254-nucleotide ribosomal RNA is filed under the name uncultured bacterium. RNAcentral describes it as "partial 16S ribosomal RNA". It matches the Rfam family "Bacterial small subunit ribosomal RNA", at positions 524 to 776 of the family's 1533-position model. The record is from RNAcentral.
CACGUAGGGGGCAAGCGUUGUCCGGAUUCAUUGGGCGUAAAGAGCUCGUAGGCGGCUCAGUAAGUCGGGUGUGAAACCCUCAGGCUCAACCUGGGGACGCCACUCGAUACUGCUGUGGCUAGAGUCCAGUAGGGGAGUGUGGAAUUCCCGGUGUAGCGGUGAAAUGCGCAGAUAUCGGGAGGAACACCAGAGGCGAAGGCGAGUUCCUGGACAAUUGCUGACACUCAGGCACGAAAGCGUGGGUAGCCAAAGGG